This 408-nucleotide ribosomal RNA is filed under the name uncultured eukaryote. Its description in RNAcentral is "bacterial SSU rRNA". It matches the Rfam family "Eukaryotic small subunit ribosomal RNA", at positions 592 to 1018 of the family's 1831-position model. The record is from RNAcentral.
CAAUAGCGUAUAUUAAAGUUGUUGCAGUUAAAAAGCUCGUAGUUGAACUUCUGUCUGUAUGUCAACCCUACAAGGAUCUGAUAAGACGGGCAUCCCCGAUCGACGGUUUACUGUACUUAAGUGUUCAUAUAACCUGAACCGGAUUUUACUUUGAAAAAUUAGAGUGUUUCAAGCAGGCGAUUUGCUGGAAUACAUUAGCAUGGAAUAAUAAGAUAGGACUUUGGUACUAUUUUGUUGGUUUGCAUACCGAGGUAAUGAUUAACAGGAACGGUUGGGGGUAUUGCUAUUUACAUGUCAGAGGUGAAAUUCUUGGAUUUUGGAAAGAGCAACAUCGGCGAAAGCAUUUACCAAGGAUGUUUUCAUUAAUCAAGAACGAAAGUUAGGGGAUCGAAGAUGAUCAGAUACCGU